GAUGAACGCUGGCGGCGUGCCUAAUACAUGCAAGUCGAGCGAACAGACGAGGAGCUUGCUCCUCUUACGUUAGCGGCGGACGGGUGAGUAACACGUGGAUAAUCUGCCUUUAAGACUGGGAUAACUUCGGGAAACCGGUGCUAAUACCGGAUAAUAUAUUGAACCACAAGGUUCAAUAGUGAAAGACGCUUUUGCUUUCCCUUAUAGAUGGAUCCGGGUCGAAUAAGCUAGUUGGUAAGGUAACGGCCUACCAAGGCGACGUUGCGUAGCCGACCUGAGAGGGUGAUCGGCCACACGGGAAUUGAGAAACGGUCAAGACUCCUACGGGAGGCGCCAUUAGGGAUUCUCCGACAUUGGGCGAAGUCUUGACGAAGCAACGCCCAGUAAGUGAUGAAGUUUUUCGGAUCUUAAAACUAGGUUAUGAGGAAAGAACAAAUGUGUAAUUAACUGUGCACCUAUUGACGGUACCUAAUCAGAAAGGCACGGCUAACUACGUG
RNAcentral lists this ribosomal RNA (497 nucleotides) under uncultured bacterium. RNAcentral's name for it is "partial 16S ribosomal RNA". It matches the Rfam family "Bacterial small subunit ribosomal RNA", at positions 28 to 507 of the family's 1533-position model. The record is from RNAcentral.